GCGCGUAGGCGGAUCGUUAAGUCAGAGGUGAAAUCCCAGGGCUCAACCCUGGAACUGCCCUUGAUACUGGCGAUCUUGAGUAUGAGAGAGGUAUGUGGAACUCCGAGUGUAGAGGUGAAAUUCGUAGAUAUUCGGAAGAACACCAGUGGCGAAGGCGACAUACUGGCUCAUUACUGACGCUGAGGCGCGAAAGCGUGGGAGCAAACA
This 207-nucleotide ribosomal RNA is filed under the name uncultured bacterium. Its description in RNAcentral is "partial 16S ribosomal RNA". It matches the Rfam family "Bacterial small subunit ribosomal RNA", at positions 567 to 774 of the family's 1533-position model. The record is from RNAcentral.